RNAcentral lists this ribosomal RNA (253 nucleotides) under uncultured bacterium. RNAcentral describes it as "partial 16S ribosomal RNA". It matches the Rfam family "Bacterial small subunit ribosomal RNA", at positions 524 to 776 of the family's 1533-position model. The record is from RNAcentral.
UACGGAGGGGGCUAGCGUUGUUCGGAAUUCCUGGGCGUAAAGCGCACGUAGGCGGCUUUGUAAGUUAGAGGUGAAAGCCCGGGGCUCAACUCCGGAAUUGCCUUUAAGACUGCAUCGCUAGAAUUGUGGAGAGGUAAGUGGAAUUCCGAGUGUAGAGGUGAAAUUCGUAGAUAUUCGGAAGAACACCAGUGGCGAAGGCGACUUACUGGACACAUAUUGACGCUGAGGUGCGAAAGCGUGGGGAGCAAACAGG